This is a long non-coding RNA of Herpailurus yagouaroundi (jaguarundi), 572 nucleotides long. RefSeq lists it as uncharacterized. Lineage: Eukaryota; Metazoa; Chordata; Mammalia; Carnivora; Felidae. The transcript has 3 exons. The record is from RefSeq and is a predicted model, not a curated record.
AAAAACUCUAUUUUGUGUAUCCACCCAUCAGCUAACGGACAUUUGGGUUGUUGCCACGUUCCGGCCCAUACCCUCCCAUCCGUCUGCAAAGCCACCCUUGGAGACGCCGUUUACCAUCAGCCCAUGUCCCGGUGUCUUUUAGGAGGACCCAUCCCACCAAUUCAAGGAAAUUGCUGUCUCUGUGCACGGCCAUCACUGCGAUCGAUUUUAGAACAUUUCAUCACCCCGGGAAAGAAAACUCACACCCUUUAGCUCUGACCUUCUCAUACACCCACCACCAGGAAACUCCUGAUCUACAUUUUCCAUCUCUACAAAUUUGCCUGUUCCGAGCAGUUCCUGCGGACGGAAUCAGACGAAGGUCGGCGCCAUGAGGAAGGAGUCUGUUCUGCGUAGGACUACAUCCUCCGCGCCUAGAACUGCCGCGGGCGUGUGGUUAGCUGCUCGAUCCGGAACAAACGAGGCCAAGGUCUGGGGCAGGCUCCGGGUGGCCUCCGCCCAGCCCAGGGCGCCUUCUCUUCUCUCGCGUGGCCUCUCCAGGACCAAAUGGAAACAGAGGCGGCACCAAAAAAAAA